CUACGUGCCAGCAGCCGCGGUAAUACGGAAGGUCCAGGCGUUAUCCGGAUUUAUUGGGUUUAAAGGGAGCGUAGGCUGGAGAUUAAGUGUGUUGUGAAAUGUAGACGCUCAACGUCUGAAUUGCAGCGCAUACUGGUUUCCUUGAGUACGCACAACGUUGGCGGAAUUUGUCGUGUAGCGGUGAAAUGCUUAGAUAUGACGAAGAACUCCGAUUGCGAAGGCAGCUGACGGGAGCGCAACUGACGCUUAAGCUCGAAGGUGCGGGUAUCAAACAGGAUUAGAUACCCUGGUAGUCCGCACAGUAAACGAUGGAUGCCCGCUGUUGGUACCUGGUAUCAGCGGCUAAGCGAAAGCAUUAAGCAUCCCACCUGGGGAGUACGCCGGCAACGGUGAAACUCAAAGGAAUUGACGGGGGCCCGCACAAGCGGAGGAACAUGUGGUUUAAUUCGAAGCAACGCGAAGAACCUUACCAGGUCUUGACAUCCCUCUGACCGCUCUAGAGAUAGAGUUUUCC
This 514-nucleotide ribosomal RNA is filed under the name uncultured bacterium. RNAcentral's name for it is "bacterial SSU rRNA". It matches the Rfam family "Bacterial small subunit ribosomal RNA", at positions 501 to 1017 of the family's 1533-position model. The record is from RNAcentral.